Molecule: ribosomal RNA, 497 nt
Filed under: uncultured bacterium
Lineage: Bacteria
Description: partial 16S ribosomal RNA
Rfam family: Bacterial small subunit ribosomal RNA
Source: RNAcentral
GAUGAACGCUGGCGGCGUGCCUAACACAUGCAAGUCGAGCGAACAGACGAGGAGCUUGCUCCUCUGACGUUAGCGGCGGACGGGUGAGUAACACGUGGAUAACCUAUCUAUAAGACUUGGAUAACGUCGGCAAACCGUAGCUAAUACCGGAUAAUAUUACGAACCGCAUGGUUCUAUAGUGAAAUACGGUUUUUCUGUCACUUAUAGAUGGAUCCGCGCCGCAUUAGCUAGUUGGUAAGGUAACGGCUUACCAAGGCAACGAUGCGUAGCCGACCUGAGAGGGUGAUCGGCCACACUGGAACUGAGACACGGUCCAGACUCCUACGGGAGGCAGCAGUAGGGAAUCUUCCGCAAUGGGCGAAAGCCUGACGGAGCAACGCCGCGUGAGUGAUGAAGGUCUUCGGAUCGUAAAACUCUGUUAUUAGGGAAGAACAAAUGUGUAAGUAACUAUGCACGUCUUGACGGUACCUAAUCAGAAAGCCACGGCUAACUACGUG